AGGGCAGCUCCAUGACAUGUACAUAGGUUUCACCUUCAUUCAUGACAUGCAUGCAUUGGUCAAGAACUACUCUUCUAAAUUUAGAUCAAGCAUUUGGAUUUCUUUUCUGUUUGGUAGACAUAGGACAGCAAAUUUAUAAUAGACUUUGUUGCCACUGAAAGACAUACUACAACCCCUAGAGGAAGACAUCACACCAUACCCUUCCCUCACCAAAUCAAAUAUAAGAGUCUGACUUUAACUAGAAAAAAAAAAAACACCAAAAGGAAGAACUAACUCUUCCAAACCCUACCUGAUCUAAAGUCACUUUUCAGAUAUGGAUCUAUUUUCUUGCUGUUCAGGGCUCGGAAGUCUUAAUAACAAAAGGUGGACAUCAUGUGGUAAGUGGAGAUGUAGAGUAUAGAUAAAGACAACAUCAACUCCUGUAGCUUAUAAAUAAAAGGAACAGAGAGCAACAGAGGGCUGGCGAUGGCACCUUAGUACUGAUUUCAGUGCUCCAAAAAUGUCACUACCUACCGACUUCAAGCCUGCCAUCUUAAAUUAAUGAUGUCUUGUUCAACAACUGCAUCAUUAC
This 571-nucleotide long non-coding RNA is filed under the name Phoenix dactylifera (date palm). RNAcentral describes it as "long non-coding RNA (PDAC_LNC003281)". Lineage: Eukaryota; Viridiplantae; Streptophyta; Magnoliopsida; Arecales; Arecaceae. The record is from RNAcentral.